GACGAACGCUGGCGGCGUGCUUAACACAUGCAAGUCGAACGGAAAGGCCCUGCUUUUGUGGGGUGCUCGAGUGGCGAACGGGUGAGUAACACGUGAGUAACCUGCCCUUGACUUUGGUAUAACUUCAGGAAACUGGGGCUAAUACCGGAUAGGAGCUCCUGCUGCAUGGUGGGGGUUGGAAAGGUUCGGCGGGUGGGGAUGGACUCGCGGCUUAUCAGCUUGUUGGUGGGGUAGUGGCUUACCAAGGCUUUGACGGGUAGCCGGCCUGAGAGGGUGACCGGCCACAUUGGGACUGAGAUACGGCCCAGACUCCUACGGGAGGCAGCAGUGGGGAAUAUUGCACAAUGGGCGGAAGCCUGAUGCAGCAACGCCGCGUGCGGGAUGACGGCCUUCGGGUUGUAAACCGCUUUCGCCUGUGACGAAGCGUGAGUGACGGUAAUGGGUAAAGAAGCACCGGCUAACUACGUG
This 468-nucleotide ribosomal RNA is filed under the name uncultured bacterium. RNAcentral describes it as "partial 16S ribosomal RNA". It matches the Rfam family "Bacterial small subunit ribosomal RNA", at positions 28 to 507 of the family's 1533-position model. The record is from RNAcentral.